GCGGAUGUAGCUCAGUUGGUAGAGUGCUUGCCUCAAAUGCACAAGGCCCUGGGUUCAAUCCCCAGCACCACA
RNAcentral lists this transfer RNA (72 nucleotides) under Marmota marmota marmota (Alpine marmot). It matches the Rfam family "tRNA". Rfam says of the family: Transfer RNA (tRNA) molecules are approximately 80 nucleotides in length. Their secondary structure includes four short double-helical elements and three loops (D, anti-codon, and T loops). Further hydrogen bonds mediate the characteristic L-shaped molecular structure. tRNAs have two regions of fundamental functional importance: the anti-codon, which is responsible for specific mRNA codon recognition, and the 3' end, to which the tRNAs corresponding amino acid is attached (by aminoacyl-tRNA synthetases). tRNAs cope with the degeneracy of the genetic code in two manners: having more than one tRNA (with a specific anti-codon) for a particular amino acid; and 'wobble' base-pairing, i.e. permitting non-standard base-pairing at the 3rd anti-codon position. The record is from Rfam by way of RNAcentral. RNAcentral also lists the same sequence under 1 other name. Lineage: Eukaryota; Metazoa; Chordata; Mammalia; Rodentia; Sciuridae.